GAUGAACGCUGGCGGCGUGCCUAAUACAUGCAAGUCGAGCGAACAGACGAUGAGCUUGCUCCUCUGACGUUAGCGGCGGACGGGUGAGUAACACGUGCAUAACCUACCUAUAAGACUGGGAUAACUUCGGGAAACCGGAGCUAAUACCGGAUCAUAUAUUGAACCGCAUGGUUCAAUAGUUAAAGACGGUUUUGCUGUCACUUAUAGAUGGAUCCGCGCCGCAUUAGCUAGUUGGUAAGGUAACGGCUUACCAAGGCAACGAUGCGUAGCCGACCUGAGAGGGUGAUCGGCCACACUGGAACUGAGACACGGUCCAGACUCCUACGGGAGGCAGCAGUAGGGAAUCUUCCGCAAUGGGCGAAAGCCUGACGGAGCAACGCCGCGUGGGUGAUGAAGGUCUUCGGAUCGUAAAACUCUGUUAUUAGGGAAGAACAAAUGUGUAAGUAACUAUGCACGUCUUGACGGUACCUAAUCAGAAAGCCACGGCUAACUACGUG
This 497-nucleotide ribosomal RNA is filed under the name uncultured bacterium. Its description in RNAcentral is "partial 16S ribosomal RNA". It matches the Rfam family "Bacterial small subunit ribosomal RNA", at positions 28 to 507 of the family's 1533-position model. The record is from RNAcentral.